CGCUGAUAGUUUUUUUUAAAUUUAAACUUAGGUACUUUUUAUAAGUCUGGAUUUUCAAAUUUUGUAGACAGGCGAUCCAAAGCCAGGCGUGAAGUUUAGGAAACCAGGACCUCUGCCUUGGCUUCCUCCUUCUGUCACCUCCAGGAGCUUGCUGCAGGCACUAGGAAUAUGACUGAGAAGGCCCUCUGAUUCGGAGCUUAAUGGCACAUGAGAUGACAGAUCUAAAAUGACCGUGCUACCAACACCACAAGGCUUUGGUUUUUUGGCCACAAGGCAAGUGGGAUCUUAGCGCCCGGACCAGGGAUCGAACCUGCGCCCCCUUCAUUGGAAGGUGAAGUCUUAACCACUGGACCACCAGGGAAGUCCUCUAGACCAUGUUCUUUGACAUAAUUCUACUGUGGCCUUAGGUGUUAAUUCCAAGCUCGCUUCCUAGUAAUUCACCAGCAUGCUAUUCUCCAGCUCAGGAUCCACUUCCAAGGGAACCCAGCUUGCAACCGUUGGUGCCACAAGUGGUCAAGAAAGCAAAUGCUGGAGUGAGAUUUUAGAGC
Molecule: long non-coding RNA, 548 nt
Organism: Lagenorhynchus albirostris (white-beaked dolphin)
Lineage: Eukaryota; Metazoa; Chordata; Mammalia; Artiodactyla; Delphinidae
Exons: 3
Source: RefSeq, a predicted model, not a curated record